UCUCCCAUGUAUGCAAGGAUUUGCUCGUAUUCAAGAUCGAGAUGAGAUGGGUUUGGGCCAGGCCACCCUUUUCCCAACAUGAAGAAAUUGCAAGCUAAUAUGCAGGCCCAGCCCAAAGUCAAACUAUGGGCUCUAACAACACAUGCUCUAUUUCAUCCUAGCCUAUUUUGGGUCCAAAGGCAAUGAUGCCCUCGUUCAAUAUGUGAUAUGGGAUGGCAGUUUACCUC
Molecule: long non-coding RNA, 227 nt
Filed under: Elaeis guineensis (African oil palm)
Lineage: Eukaryota; Viridiplantae; Streptophyta; Magnoliopsida; Arecales; Arecaceae
Description: long non-coding RNA (EGUI_LNC007810)
Source: RNAcentral